CUUGCUUUAGCACAACAGGAACGAUGGCGUCCGUGUAGACUGCUGUUGACUCCAGAGAGUCAGGUGAUUUACAAUGACCCGGAGGUUGUGGGUUUAGAAGAUUGCCUUCAGGUGGAUCAUCCACGUUUUUGCUAAGCAGGGUAGUCCAGACGUCACUCUCCCCAGCAACGCUUUCCAGCUCCUCCUGGGGGAUCCCAAGGUUUUCCCAGGCCAGAUGAGAUGUUAGUUCAGUAAUUUCAUUUCACAAAGGAGGCAGCAGGUGAGUCUGGGGAAAAUCACAUCCAGCACCCAGACAAUCAGCACUGGCGCCCUUAAGGGUUGUGUGCUCUCCCCUCUGCUCUUCUAUACAUCCAUCACUGACUGUCUGUUUUGGAUCAGCCACCAAAGAAGACAGGAACAGACUACAUUACACACAGUCAGGACUGCAGAAAAAAACACUGGUGCCAACCUACUCUCCAUUCAGGACUUAUACAUCUCCAGAGUCAGGAAACAGGCAAGAAACAUCACUGCAGAUCCAUCACACCCUAGAUACAACCUGUUCCAACUUCUCUCCUCUGGUAGGCGCUACAGAGCACUGUACAGCUAAACAACUAGACACAAGAACAGUAUCUUCCCACAGGCCAUCACUAUAAUGAACAGUUAACAUCAGUCACAUAGUGUUAACAACAACAAUCCCUGUGCAAUAACCCUGUAACACUAAACAUCCACUGUACCUACAAAUUAUAAAUUAUAUAUUUUAUGGUUUAAAUACACACUGUCUUUUUAACAUGUACAUAUCAUCAUUGUCAAAUAUAAGUCUAAGCACACUAUAUACUGUAUAUACUGUCAUAUCCACCUAAUUCAUGUAUAUAAAGUAACGUGUUACACUUUGCACUCUGCACCAUUGCACUAUUGUCUUAUUGUUUACAGAUUUCAUAGUUUAUUUAAUAUAUACCUUUUAUAUAUACACAUUUAUAUAUAUUUUUUUACCUACUUGUAUCUACAUAAUAGUUAAAUGUUUAUGUUUACCUUUGUUCAGCUUUUUGUCCUUGUUUUUAGCUGUAUGUCUAUUUCUGUGUAAGUACAUUGAGAGCAACGAAAAACCGGAGUCAAAUACCUUAUAUGUGUACGCAUACUUGGCCAAUAAAGCUGUUUCUGAUUCUGAUACUUAGCAACAUUUCAAAGAGAAAUAUUGCACUUUUAUUUAUUUUACAACUAGUUACAGUACAGUGACUUUGCAGAUUAAGAUUUACAAACAAAACAUAUGAUAGUCUCGUGAAAUAUGAAGCAAUGUUACAGAUUAAACUACCCAAAAGUAUAUCAAAUCAAAACAAAUCAAUCAACAACGUUAAAAUGCUUUUAAAACUCUAAUAAAAUAAUUAUAUAACAUUCUAAAGGGGUCAUUCUGCAUUUAUGAAUAAUGAGCACUUUUACUUUACAUGUUGCUGAUUUUGUUUACUUAAUUAAAGUCAUAAGUUAAUUAAAGCCAUUGCAGGGCCUUUGCUUGUAAUUAAUUCAGCAAUGAGAUCUUUCCAUCAUUGUUUGAUACCUAAUUAUUAUGAUUAUGGCCAACCUUACACUAGUCAACUUCCUAAUGUGAUGAGCAGCCAAGACAUGGAUGAGGAAAAAUAUAUUAAAUCUGGGACCUCCCUAAUAUAUGACUGUGAAUUUAAUAGAUGUGAAUAGAGAGGAUGUAGCAAAUUAUACAAUUAAUGUGACGAAGGAAUAUAUUAGCCAUCGUGUUAUGGGAAAAGAGACAGCAAAAAUUGUGUUUGAAUUACUUAUAUUUUUAUCGGCCAUGACAUAUUCAUUAAAAUGUUGAAUAAAUCCUUUAAACAUCUAAA
Molecule: long non-coding RNA, 1823 nt
Organism: Siniperca chuatsi (mandarin fish)
Lineage: Eukaryota; Metazoa; Chordata; Actinopteri; Centrarchiformes; Sinipercidae
Exons: 3
Source: RefSeq, a predicted model, not a curated record